This 276-nucleotide unclassified non-coding RNA is filed under the name Hevea brasiliensis (rubber tree). Lineage: Eukaryota; Viridiplantae; Streptophyta; Magnoliopsida; Malpighiales; Euphorbiaceae. The record is from RNAcentral.
AUCUUAUAUGUCAACAGUUGAAAUGUGAUCUAUGAUCUCAUAGCUCAAAUAAGAAUUUCAGAACCAAAUCACAAAAAUAGGGCAAAGAUUACAGAUAUCACCUUAUACACAAAUUUGAUACAGGCAAGUAGGUUUCCAUAACAUUAGAGAAGCCAUCUUAGUUGAUCCAGUUACAAAAUUCAGCAAUCAUGAUGGCGAAGGACGAGGAAGUCGCUUAGCAAUUUCCUCAAACAGUUGAUUUAUGUUGUCUGCAGUCUUGGCAGAAGUCUCAAUAAA